GAUCAUGGCUCGGGAUGAACGCUAGCUACAGGCUUAACACAUGCAAGUCGAGGGGCAGCAUGUUGGUUGCUUGCAACCAAUGAUGGCGACCGGCGCACGGGUGAGUAACGCGUAUCCAACCUUCCGCAUACUCGGGAAUAGCCUUUCGAAAGAAAGAUUAAUGCCCGAUGGUUUCCCGAAUCCGCAUGAGAACGGGAAUAAAGAUUCAUCGGUAUGCGAUGGGGAUGCGUCCCA
This 234-nucleotide ribosomal RNA is filed under the name uncultured bacterium. RNAcentral's name for it is "partial 16S ribosomal RNA". It matches the Rfam family "Bacterial small subunit ribosomal RNA", at positions 15 to 240 of the family's 1533-position model. The record is from RNAcentral.